AUGCACCCCGCGGACACGCCGGUUGCUGCGCGCCGUCCACGUUUACCUGACGACCGCUUGCUACGGGUUGCCAACC
This 76-nucleotide small RNA is filed under the name Xanthomonas arboricola pv. pruni. Its description in RNAcentral is "sX9". It matches the Rfam family "Xanthomonas sRNA sX9". Lineage: Bacteria; Pseudomonadati; Pseudomonadota; Gammaproteobacteria; Lysobacterales; Lysobacteraceae. The record is from RNAcentral.